GUUCUAAUAGUGUAGUGGCUAUCACGUUGCCUUCACACGGCAAAGGUCCNAGUUCGAACCUCAGUUAGAACA
This 72-nucleotide transfer RNA is filed under the name Zygosaccharomyces bailii CLIB 213. RNAcentral's name for it is "tRNA-Val (CAC) (tRNA-Val-CAC-4-1)". It matches the Rfam family "tRNA". From Rfam's summary of the family: Transfer RNA (tRNA) molecules are approximately 80 nucleotides in length. Their secondary structure includes four short double-helical elements and three loops (D, anti-codon, and T loops). Lineage: Eukaryota; Fungi; Ascomycota; Saccharomycetes; Saccharomycetales; Saccharomycetaceae. The record is from RNAcentral.